This 1364-nucleotide long non-coding RNA is filed under the name Medicago truncatula (barrel medic). RNAcentral's name for it is "long non-coding RNA (MTRU_LNC008055)". The record is from RNAcentral. Lineage: Eukaryota; Viridiplantae; Streptophyta; Magnoliopsida; Fabales; Fabaceae.
GAAAGUGUAGGUCCAUGUACUAGCCAAAGCUCCUAGAAUAGGUGACACCAUAUAUAUCCAUAUUCCUCUAUAUUCAUGGUGCACAAUAGCUGGUCCUAAGCUUCUUGCUGGAUUCAUUGAUGCUCCUGUGAUGGGUCUGUCAAAUAUAUUUUCACUCACAAGUUAGAUUUUAUUUUAACCUUUCUCAUAAUAACAUGUCACGUAUUAUUUUUAUAUAUUCUUGGUGCAAAGCAUGCAUUUUAUGAUAUAAUAUUUGGUAAGGUUUUGAGAUCUAUACCCUGCAAACAACACAUUUAGCAUGACUGUAGAUCCAACUGCAAGUCCAGCCAAUUCACCAAUCUGAAGCAAUAAAUAAAAACUAUCAGACAAAGGUUAAAUGAUAUUUAAGUAAUUAUGGAAUGGGCCUCAUGACUGAUUUAAAGCUAACAUUUAUUGAAGUGAUUUUAACAUUAUAAAUAUGUUUAUACAUCUUGUCAAUGACCUUUUUAUUGUUGUUGAAAGAAAUAGUCAAUUAACUUGAGUCACAAUUAUAUCUUAAUCAAAAUGAUCAAUAGAAAUAUAAUUAUCAAUUACUAUUAUCAACCAAGCAUUUAAAAAAGAAAAAAAAUUACCGCUCUAUUAUCGGUGGCAACUCCAGAAAUGACGAACAUAAGGUAGAAAGUGAUAAUAAAUUCGACCACAAAAGCUUGAUGGUCCAAACCAGCCGGAAGUGUUCCUGCAAAUUGAUUUUCCUUGCCACUGAAUAUGAGUUUGAGAGCUUCACUUGCAAGUGUUGAGCCAGCGACCUGAGCAAUUAUAUAAGCUGGUACCUACAGGAAAGAAUUAAAUAAAAAUUAAUAAUAUUUUGGACUGCACAAACGGUUGUCCUCGCCAACUAAUGCUUCGAACAUAGGCCCAAAUAACGGUGUACCAACUAUUUCCUUCUUCACAUAGGUAAUAGGUUGAAACUUGCUUUGGUCCAUACUCUUCACACCGCCCAUUUUGUUACUACAUCGAGCAAACGUUCAUCUCUCCUAAGUCUGUAACGCCUCCUUGCAUGCAAUAAAGGCUCGAUGUUAGAAGGUUACAAACACCGCCAUCUGUAACCGUCGGCCAACAGCUCUCCAAAUAUUACUCUAAGCAUUUAUAUAAGAGGACUUCUAGUGUCGUCCUAGGUACGUUCUUCUAACCCCAAAACUUUAAACUCUUAGCUCUCAUGCUGACUUGAACGCCAAUGUGUCUUUUGCAGGUACCUCUGCCGUUUCAACAACCUACAUUCUCGUAGGACGCCGUUCUUCUAACCACCUCCGCUCAAAUAACUUAAGAGAGAAACUUAUGUUUGUCUUAAUAUGAAUUAUAGUGCUUGUGUUUUGUAAUUUACCUGC